GAUGAAGAACGUAGCGAAAUGCGAUAAGUAAUGUGAAUUGCAGAAUUCAGUGAAUCAUCGAAUCUUUGAACGCACCUUGCGCCCUUUGGCUAUUCCGAAGGGCAUGCCUGUUUGAGUAUCAUGAACACCUCAACUCUCAUGGUUUGCCAUGAUGAGCUUGGACUCUGGGGGUCUUGCUGGCCUAUGGUCAGCUCCUCUCAAAUAAAUCAGCUUGCCAGUGUUUGGUGGCAUCACAGGUGUGAUAACUAUCUACGCUUGUGGUUUUCCAUCAGGUAACCUUCAGUGAUGGAGGUUCGCUGGAGCUCAUAAAUGUCCCUCCUCAGCGAGGACAGCUUUUUGAACGUUUGAUCUCAAAUCAGGUAGGACUACCCGCUGAACUUAAGCAUAUCAUAAGCGGAGA
RNAcentral lists this unclassified non-coding RNA (400 nucleotides) under soil metagenome. Its description in RNAcentral is "partial contains 5.8S ribosomal RNA, internal transcribed spacer 2, and large subunit ribosomal RNA". The stretch from base 1 to 121 matches the Rfam family "5.8S ribosomal RNA", at positions 35 to 154 of the family's 154-position model. The record is from RNAcentral.